Molecule: transfer RNA, 66 nt
Filed under: zebrafish metagenome
Rfam family: tRNA
About the family: Transfer RNA (tRNA) molecules are approximately 80 nucleotides in length. Their secondary structure includes four short double-helical elements and three loops (D, anti-codon, and T loops).
Source: RNAcentral
CCGUAGCUCAGCAGGAUAGAGCAGCGGUUUCCUAAACCGAAGGUCAGGGGUUCGAAUCCCUUCGGG